Molecule: ribosomal RNA, 497 nt
Filed under: uncultured bacterium
Lineage: Bacteria
Description: partial 16S ribosomal RNA
Rfam family: Bacterial small subunit ribosomal RNA
Source: RNAcentral
GAUGAACGCUGGCGGCGUGCCUAAUACAUGCAAGUCGAGCGAACAGACGAGGAGCUUGCUCCUCUGACGUUAGCGGCGGACGGGUGAGUAACACGUGGAUAACCUACCUAUAAGACUGGGAUAACUUCGGGAAACCGGAGCUAAUACCGGAUAAUAUAUUGAACCGCAUGGUUCAAUAGUGAAAGACGGUUUUGCUGUCACUUAUAGAUGGAUCCGCGCCGCAUUAGCUAGUUGGUAAGGUAACGGCUUACCAAGGCAACGAUGCGUAGCCGACCUGAGAGGGUGAUCGGCCACACUGGAACUGAGACACGGUCCAGACUCCUACGGGAGGCAGCAGUAGGGAAUCUUCCGCAAUGGGCGAAAGCCUGACGGAGCAACGCCGCGUGAGUGAUGAAGGUCUUCGGAUCGUAAAACUCUGUUAUUGGGGAAGAACAAAUGUGUAAGUAACUAUGCACGUCUUGACGGUACCUAAUCAGAAAGCCACGGCUAACGACGUG